AGUGAACGCUGGCGGCAGGCCUAACACAUGCAAGUCGAACGGCAGCACAAGAGAGCUUGCUCUCUGGGUGGCGAGUGGCGGACGGGUGAGGAAUGCAUCGGAAUCUGCCCAUUUGUGGGGGAUAACCUCGGGAAACCGGGACUAAUACCGCAUACGACCUACGGGUGAAAGCAGGGGAUCUUCGGACCUUGCGCAGAUGGAUGAGCCGAUGCCGGAUUAGCUAGUUGGAGGGGUAAAGGCCCACCAAGGCGACGAUCCGUAGCUGGUCUGAGAGGAUGAUCAGCCACCCUGGGACUGAGACACGGCCCAGACUCCUACGGGAGGCAGCAGUGGGGAAUAUUGGACAAUGGGCGCAAGCCUGAUCCAGCCAUGCCGCGUGUGUGAAGAAGGCCUUCGGGUUGUAAAGCACUUUUGUUGGGAAAGAAAAGCAGCCGGUUAAUACCCGGUUGUCAUGACGGUACCCAAAGAAUAAGCACCGGCUAACUUCGUG
RNAcentral lists this ribosomal RNA (490 nucleotides) under uncultured bacterium. RNAcentral describes it as "partial 16S ribosomal RNA". It matches the Rfam family "Bacterial small subunit ribosomal RNA", at positions 29 to 507 of the family's 1533-position model. The record is from RNAcentral.